UCUUGAGUGGAAACAUCUUUAUUUUACGAGACAGGCAGGUAGGAGUGCGUCUAAAAUAGGUGUUACACGUAGCUUCUGCAGCUCUAAACUGAACAUAUUAAACCUUCUGUUUGCAUAUGGAAAAUAAAAAUGAUGUUCGUAACAAGUACCACGAACAAUGUCUGAAGUGCAGCCUUCUCUGACCAGGUAACUGGAGCACAGCAUUAGCUACCAGUAAAGAACAUUACUGACAUGUCUCUUUUGGACACCCAGUCCUUACUACAUGUGUUUGAUACAGCAAGAAAAAAUAUUUUAGACACUAUAUGCUGCAAUAAAUCUUUACAACAUUUCCACUUCCCUCAUUCCAUUUAACCUAUUUUACUUUAUCGAUCGGUUUAUCUUGUUCAGGUGGGACUACACUAGUUCAUAAGGAGACUCUUACUUCAGAGGCUGAUUCUGGAUCUUGUAAUUGAAAACUUCAGAGUAAUUGCUUUGGUUGCUAGGGAAUUAUAUAGUUGUCACUCCCAUUAUUUUAUGAUCCAUCUCAGGAUAAAAGAUUAGAAAGAUGAUAAAACAGGUGGUCUGAUUCGGAUCACGAACCUGGAGGAUCUCUAGAGCCACGCCUGGCUCCUUCUUUUUCUAUUUUCCUCAUAAUUAGCAAAUAUUUUUUGGGCAGCUCAUUCUCGUCCUGCAACAGGAAGUGAAGACGGUACGAACCCGGACUCUGUUGGGUAUCUGACGGUCGAAUGUGAAUCUUGAAAGGAGUCCAAAUGUAAGGCGUCAAUCGUUUAUCAGUUUUGGAGAAAAUCUUUGUGACUUUAAUUAGAUUCAGUCAGCAACUGAUUUGCAGUAUUGGUAAAUGAGUAAUAUAUUGAAAGGGUGUCAAUAUGGUGGAUUGGAGUCUCGCUCCAGAUAACUAUGGCCUAUCGCAAGGGUUGGCAUACUAACAAGAUGUCUAAUUUCCCUUUGGGAUUAAGAAAGUAUUUUGAAUUUGAUUCAAGAGCAGAGGACCAGGCCUUCAUUUUUCUAAAACCACUUCCACAUAUUUG
Long non-coding RNA from Poecilia latipinna (sailfin molly), 1028 nucleotides. RefSeq lists it as uncharacterized. The transcript is spliced from 3 exons. Lineage: Eukaryota; Metazoa; Chordata; Actinopteri; Cyprinodontiformes; Poeciliidae. The record is from RefSeq and is a predicted model, not a curated record.